Molecule: long non-coding RNA, 284 nt
Organism: Neopsephotus bourkii (Bourke's parrot)
Lineage: Eukaryota; Metazoa; Chordata; Aves; Psittaciformes; Psittacidae
Exons: 2
Source: RefSeq, a predicted model, not a curated record
CUUUCAGGACAAACCCCGUGCGAUUCUCACCGGAGCCUCUGGGAAAGUUUUCCUCCUUGGGAAAGUUUCCUUUUACCCUGUGAGUGUUCUGCUCCCGUGUUUUGAAUUUCUCCUCUCUAAAUGCCUGAUCUGUGCCCUUGCUUAAUCAAGAUGAUGUUCUCCUCGCUGCCAAGCCUGGCGUGGAAGAUUGUGGGCACUGUGCCACGGACUCAGCACCACGUGUGGGCAAAAGGAGCCUCUUGCAACAAAAAAUACAAUUAAACAGCACCUGGCAGUUUAUACAA